RNAcentral lists this ribosomal RNA (520 nucleotides) under uncultured bacterium. RNAcentral describes it as "bacterial SSU rRNA". It matches the Rfam family "Bacterial small subunit ribosomal RNA", at positions 28 to 561 of the family's 1533-position model. The record is from RNAcentral.
GACGAACGCUGGCGGCGUGCUUAACACAUGCAAGUCGAGCGGGGUCCAACCUGUCGCAAGACAGGGGAAGACCUAGCGGCGAACGGGUGAGUAACACGUGAGGAACCUGCCCCGAAGACCGGGAUAACACCGGGAAACCGGUGCUAAUACCGGAUGCCCUCAGAGAGUCGCAUGGCUCAUUGAGGAAAUGGAUUCCGCUUCGGGAGGGCCUCGCGGCCUAUCAGCUUGUUGGUGGGGUAACGGCCUACCAAGGCUCCGACGGGUAGCUGGUCUGAGAGGACGACCAGCCACACUGGGACUGAGACACGGCCCAGACUCCUACGGGAGGCAGCAGUGGGGAAUCUUGCGCAAUGGGCGAAAGCCUGACGCAGCAACGCCGCGUGGGGGACGAAGGCCUCCGGGUUGUAAACCCCUUUCAGCAGGGACGAACAUGACGGUACCUGCAGAAGAAGCCCCGGCCAACUACGUGCCAGCAGCCGCGGUAAUACGUAGGGGGCGAGCGUGUCCGGNUUAUUGGCGU